GGGGAUGUCGCAUAGUGGCAAUUGCAAGGGACUGUAAAUCCCUCCUCUUAGGAGUUCGCUGGUUCGAGUCCAGCCAUCCCCA
Molecule: non-coding RNA, 82 nt
Organism: Chlamydiae bacterium SM23_39
Lineage: Bacteria; Pseudomonadati; Chlamydiota
Source: Rfam